CCGAAGUUGUUGAUAAAGUGUAUCAAGUUAGUACCCUGUGGUUUCGCAUUUUUUCAUUUUAGUAUCAUGUGGUUUCGCACUUUCUCACUUUAGUAUUCUGUGGUUUAAAAACCAUAUGAUACUAAUUUGAUACAAAAAUAAAACCACAGAAUACUAACUUGAUACACUUUAAACCACAGGGUAUUAAAGUGAUAAAGUGCGAAACCACAGAGUACUAACUUGAUACACUUUAAACUAUAGGGUACUAAAUUAAAACGUCUGAAACUAUAGGGGGUUUUUUGAAGUUUUCCCAGAUAUUUAUGUUGGGCGUUAGAGAGAGAAAAUAAGCAUUUUUGGUGAAGAGAUUCGAAUUUAUCCCUAUCCAACGCUACAUGCGUCACAGUACAAGAAAGUCAACAAAGCAACAUCUGACAAAAGGGUACAAAAUAAAAAUAAAAAAUUUAUAAAAUUUAUCUCAACUUUUUUUUUUUUCGACUAUUUAAUCUUUAAAUAAUAUAAUUUUACUAUAUGAUCUUCUAAUUUAUUUAAUUUAAGUCAGUUAAUGACUCUUUAAAUUUAAAUUUGAAUGGAUCGUUUAUAUUUAUAGAUUUAAUUAGUAUAUUUAUACAAUUCGUAUAACUAUAAAUGCAUUGAGGCAAUCAAUUUAAAUUUUAUAUCCAAGAGCCAUUAAAUAAGUUAAAUUAAAAAAUUUGAAAGAUUGGAUAAUAAUUUAGAAAUUUAAAAAAUUAGACAGUCGAACCAGAAUAGUCUAUAAGAUAAGA
RNAcentral lists this long non-coding RNA (761 nucleotides) under Ananas comosus (pineapple). Its description in RNAcentral is "long non-coding RNA (ACOM_LNC025365)". The record is from RNAcentral. Lineage: Eukaryota; Viridiplantae; Streptophyta; Magnoliopsida; Poales; Bromeliaceae.